GGGCCUAUAGCUCAGUGGUUAGAGCUGCCGGCUCAUAACCGGCUGGUCGCAGGUUCGACUCCUGCUGGGCCCA
This 73-nucleotide transfer RNA is filed under the name Candidatus Ozemibacteraceae bacterium. RNAcentral describes it as "tRNA-Ile". It matches the Rfam family "tRNA". From Rfam's summary of the family: Transfer RNA (tRNA) molecules are approximately 80 nucleotides in length. Their secondary structure includes four short double-helical elements and three loops (D, anti-codon, and T loops). Lineage: Bacteria; Candidatus Rifleibacteriota; Candidatus Ozemibacteria; Candidatus Ozemibacteraceae. The record is from RNAcentral. RNAcentral also lists the same sequence under 1 other name.